Molecule: ribosomal RNA, 759 nt
Filed under: uncultured Porphyromonas sp.
Lineage: Bacteria; Pseudomonadati; Bacteroidota; Bacteroidia; Bacteroidales; Porphyromonadaceae
Description: bacterial SSU rRNA
Rfam family: Bacterial small subunit ribosomal RNA
Source: RNAcentral
GAUGAACGCUAGCGAUAGGCUUAACACAUGCAAGUCGAGGGGCAGCAUGGUCUUAGCUUGCUAAGACUGAUGGCGACCGGCGCACGGGUGCGUAACGCGUAUGCAACUUGCCUCACAGAGGGGGAUAACCCGUCGAAAGACGGACUAAUACCGCGUACACUCCACUUUGGGCAUCCAAUGUAGAGGAAAUGAAAUUCGCUGUGAGAUAGGCAUGCGUCCCAUUAGCUAGUUGGUGAGGUAACGGCUCACCAAGGCGACGAUGGGUAGGGGAACUGAGAGGUUGAACCCCCACACUGGUACUGAGACACGGACCAGACUCCUACGGGAGGCAGCAGUGAGGAAUAUUGGUCAAUGGGCGAGAGCCUGAACCAGCCAAGUCGCGUGAAGGAUGACUGUCUUAUGGAUUGUAAACUUCUUUUAUACGGGAAUAACAAGAGUCACGUGUGACUCCCUGCAUGUACCGUAUGAAUAAGCAUCGGCUAACUCCGUGCCAGCAGCCGCGGUAAUACGGAGGAUGCGAGCGUUAUCCGGAUUUAUUGGGUUUAAAGGGUGCGUAGGCGGCCUGUUAAGUCAGCGGUGAAAUCUAGGAGCUUAACUCCUAAAUUGCCAUUGAUACUGGCGGGCUUGAGUGUAGAUGAGGUAGGCGGAAUGCGUGGUGUAGCGGUGGAAUGCAUAGAUAUCACGCAGAACUCCGAUUGCGAAGGCAGCUUACUAAGGUACAACUGACGCUGAAGCACGAAAGCGUGGGUAUCAAACAGG